This 986-nucleotide ribosomal RNA is filed under the name Gymnodinium fuscum. RNAcentral's name for it is "LSU rRNA". It matches the Rfam family "Eukaryotic large subunit ribosomal RNA", at positions 61 to 959 of the family's 3401-position model. The record is from RNAcentral. Lineage: Eukaryota; Dinophyceae; Gymnodiniales; Gymnodiniaceae.
GAAACUAAAAAGGAUUCCCUCAGUAAUGGCGAAUGAACAGGGAGCAGCUCAACAUGGAAAUCGUGGCCUGUGGCCAUGAAUUGUAAUUUCAAGACGCAUUGCCAACGGUGGCGCAGAUGUAAACCUUUUGGAAAAGAGAACCAUUGAGGGUGAGAGUCCUGUUUGUCAUCUGCAGUCCUUCGUGUACGGCAUGCGCUCAAAGAGUCACGUUCCUCGGGAUUGGAGCGCAAAUUGGGUGGUAAAUUUCAUCUCAAGCUAAAUACAGAUUCGAGACCGAUAGCAAACAAGUACCAUGAGGGAAAGAUGAAAAGGACUUUGAAAAGAGAGUUAAAAGUGCUUGAACUUGCUGGAAGGAAAGCGGAUGGAACCAGUGCGGCUCGGUGAGAUUGUUGCGCGUUCCAGUGAUGGCGACUUGUGUUAGCGCAAGCGGCGCAUGGCGCUCUGAUCUGAAUGCACGUGAUGCUUCUUACCUUGUGGGUCACCGUCAGCGUGGUGGCGAGGAUAACUCUUGGGACAUGGUAGCUCGCCUCUGGGCGAGUGAAUGUGCCUUGUGGAAUUUGCCACCAUGUUGCGUCGACGUUGCGAGGUCGAGUUGCCAAUCGACAGCGCCACUUCCAUUGCGAGCGGCAUGUGUUGGUUCAUAGGGCACCUUCCUGACAACAACGGUGACCAAAUGGUUCUUUUCGACCCGUCUUGAAACACGGACCAAGGAGUCUAACAUACGUGCGAGUUCCUGGGUGGAAAAAACCUACCCGCGCAAUGAAAGUGAGUGCUGAGAUCCUUGCAUCAGCAGCCGACCGAUCAAUUGGGAGAGGUUUGAGCAAGAGCACGCCUGUUAGGACCCGAAAGAUGGUGAACUAUGCCUGAGAAGGGCGAAGUCUGGGGAAACUCAGGUGGAGGCUCGUAGCGAUACUGACGUGCAAAUCGUUCGUCAUACUUGGGUAUAGGGGCGAAAGACUAAUCGAACCAUCUAGUAGCUGGUUCCC